This 442-nucleotide ribosomal RNA is filed under the name uncultured bacterium. RNAcentral describes it as "partial 16S ribosomal RNA". It matches the Rfam family "Bacterial small subunit ribosomal RNA", at positions 338 to 795 of the family's 1533-position model. The record is from RNAcentral.
CCUACGGGAGGCAGCAGUAGGGAAUCUUUCACAAUGGGCGAAAGCCUGACCGAGCAACGCCGCGUGCAGGAUGAAGGCCUUCGGGUUGUAAACUGCUUUUAUAAGCGAGGAAGAAGAUGGCAAUUCAUGAAUAAUGAUCGGCUAACUACGUGCCAGCAGCCGCGGUCAUACGUAGGAGCUGAGCAGUAUCAGGGGUGACUGGGGGGAAAAAGUUGCGUAGGUGGGAAAAGAAAUAGCUAGUGAAAACUGGAGGGUCAACCAUUCAGACGGUUAGUUAAACUGUUAAGCUCGAGACCGUGAGGGGUAACUGGAAUUUCGAGUGUAGGGGUGAAAUGCGUAGAUAUUAGAAGGAACACCAAUGGCGUAGGCAGAUUGCUGGAACGGUUCUGACGCUAAGGCACGAAAGCGUAGGGAGCAAACGGGAUUAGAUACCCGAGUAGUC